CCUGGAUGUUGCUGGCAAGGGAGUUGAUGAUUUCCACCUGCUCAUCAUUCUGUGGAAUCACGCGAAACACUUUAUGCCUGGAAGGGGAGAAAAGGGUUGAAUUUGAAAGAGACAUUAUUUAACAUGUGAACAGGUAGUGGAUAAGGAGAGGAAAGAAGAUCUGGGGUAUGGAGCAAAAAUAAAGUGGCUCUCAUGACUUCAGGAUGUGUUUCCACUUCUGCAAUUGACUCAUCAGCUUCCAGCUACAAAAUCAGAUGUGCCAGGAAGGAGUGAAGACGUGGAGGGAGAGAGAGAGAGACUGUGCUUUGAUCCACUGCCUCAUGAAACAUCACAGCUACCUGAAAUCCUUACAUUUUCUGUGAAUUAUUUAAAACAUUUUCUGAAAGAAAAAAAAAAAGGAAGAUAUAUUUUGAUGUGGAAAUGUUGCUGUAGUGCUUCAUGGAAAUGGUAGAAAAGGUAUCUCGAGGCCCUGUGCUGUAUUCUGCACUCAGUGUGUCAAAUUCAUGAUGUUCUGUGACUAGGGGCUCCAGCCAGGCAGUGCAGCAGCUAAGCUGCUGGUUUGGUGCAAAUGUCAGAAGAUCUGGUCCAAGUGCCUGGCCAGAAGAAAACAAAUAAUACAAAUAUGGAACAGAAAAAUCUAUUUUAUAGAUAUAAAAUUAUGUUUCCUUCUGUUAAACCCCAUAAUACUCCUACCUUGUGAUGUUUCACAGCAAAAGAUGAAUUUCCUUCCCUGCUGUGGUCAGCUGGUUUUUAGUACUACACAGCAGAAUGCUUGCAGAAGGGUUGGGGAAUUUUCUUUUGCAUCCAAAGAUUUUCCUACCUAAGUAAAGCUGCCUCUUGGUUUGUUCAUUGUGUUGCUCACAUUUCACUUUGCUUUCUCACUGGAAGGCUUGCAAGAGAAUUGUGUGACAUCUAGAAUUUUGCUUGUUUCAUUCAUGGUUCUUAAUCAAAUAUUAUACUUCUAUUAUGCUGCCUUUUUCCAUUCUAGUUUUUUGUAUUGGGUAAAUUGCUGGAACUUCUCACAUUUGAAGAAACUGGUUGUGGUUAUUCACUCCAGGAAAAUAAGAGUAGGUCAUGAUGUUCAGUGCCUGCCCCUCACUGAAUAACAAGCUUCUGGAGCUUGAAAUGAGAGGUUAUGUCAGGGCUAAAUAUUG
Dryobates pubescens (Downy woodpecker) is the source of this 1154-nucleotide long non-coding RNA. RefSeq lists it as uncharacterized. The record is from RefSeq and is a predicted model, not a curated record. NCBI's taxonomy places the organism in Eukaryota, Metazoa, Chordata, Aves, Piciformes, Picidae. The transcript is spliced from 3 exons.